This 253-nucleotide ribosomal RNA is filed under the name uncultured bacterium. Its description in RNAcentral is "partial 16S ribosomal RNA". It matches the Rfam family "Bacterial small subunit ribosomal RNA", at positions 524 to 776 of the family's 1533-position model. The record is from RNAcentral.
UACGUAGGGGGCAAGCGUUGUCCGGAUUUAUUGGGCGUAAAGAGCGUGUAGGCGGCCAGAUAGGUCGGUUGUGAAAACUGGAGGCUUAACCUCCAGACGUCGACCGAAACCAUCUGGCUAGAGUCCGGAAGAGGAGAAUGGAAUUCCUGGUGUAGCGGUGAAAUGCGCAGAUAUCAGGAAGAACACCCGUGGCUAAGGCGGUUCUCUAGUACGGUACUGACGCUGAGACGCGAAAGCGUGGGGAGCGAACAGG